GCUAGUGUUGUGAAAUGUUGGGUUAAGUCCCGCAACGAGCGCAACCCUUAUCCUUUGUUGCCAGCGAUUCGGUCGGGAACUCAAAGGAGACUGCCGGUGAUAAACCGGAGGAAGGUGGGGAUGACGUCAAGUCAUCAUGGCCCUUACGAGUAGGGCUACACACGUGCUACAAUGGCGCAUACAAAGAGAUGCGACUCGCGAGAGAGAGCGGACUCAUAAAGUGCGUCGUAGUCCGGAUCGGAGUCUGCAACUCGACUCCGUGAAGUCGGAAUCGCUAGUA
RNAcentral lists this ribosomal RNA (280 nucleotides) under uncultured organism. RNAcentral's name for it is "partial 16S ribosomal RNA". It matches the Rfam family "Bacterial small subunit ribosomal RNA", at positions 1058 to 1340 of the family's 1533-position model. The record is from RNAcentral.